Non-coding RNA from Triticum urartu, 884 nucleotides. The record is from RefSeq and is a predicted model, not a curated record. Lineage: Eukaryota; Viridiplantae; Streptophyta; Magnoliopsida; Poales; Poaceae.
CGAUGAUCCUCCUCUUCACGCCACUGUCGAAGCCCAUCCGCUUUUGUCAUUGCCGCACAUCAUCCUCUUCCUUCCAUGGCAUCGUUCGACACCUCCUCUCCACGCCAGCUGUCAUGUCUCCUUUCCCUCUAAUCCCUCGAUGGUGUCACGUACAUCAUCCACUCUCUCACCCCUCUUGCUCGUUCUCUCCGCCACAUCGUCGCCGCCGCCAAUCCUCUCCGCCACGCCGUCCCAGCCGCCACAACUCCCCACCUUGGCGCGUCCCGGCCUCCUCCCAUCCCCUCCACUCCUCGGUCCCCGCCACAGUUAUCUGUUUCGGCCGGGUCUAGUGAGCAGUGGUGAGACCAGGUGUCGCGGUGAGCAGCCGGAUCCGGCCGUCGGCGAGCCGCGCCGUGGAUCUAGCCAUCCCAGGGCGAUUUCCGGAGCCGAGGGCGACUUGAAGAUUUCUACCUCAAGCUGAGCCGCACCGUCGAUCUGGCCAACCCAGGCUGAGUUGCUGGCUUGCUGCCUGUUGGCCUGCUACACAGCCUACUGAUAGUAUGCUCGGUAUUUGACAGGGAAAUCACACAGCGAAGGUUGGAGACUGAUGCGGAUGCGCGCAAGGGCAACGUUGGAUGACACCUAGAAGAGCAAGCAUAGUGCAGCGAAGGAAGUACCGAGCUUCGGCAGCACUACACCAUCGUCCUCUGCCUCACCGAGCACAUCAAUUUCAUGAGAUGGUGAGAGCAUUUCGACAGAUUGUGUACUUUUCAAUUUUAGACCUUUGUGCUCUAGAUGCCAUUGCUGGAUGUCGACUUGGUGGUGAGAUUUCUCAAAUGCUCCAAUGCUCCAAGUUGAGUCUUAACUUCAAAAUAAAAAACGUAGCAUCUGCAAGUUCUCGACCA